GGAAAUGGGCCAUGUUUUACCUUUCAGGUGGCCACGCAGUGCUGGGUGAAUGCAGUUGUUUUGUCUUCGCUUUAAAUAUAGCGGGGAAUGGGCCUUAACUAGGCCAGGGUCCCUGUGAUGCAGCUGCAUUUGGUGCAAAUUUGCCAUCGUUUUGUCCCUGCAGGAUGGGAGUUUUAGCUGGGGUUGGCUGGAUCGAAGGUCAUUGUCCCUGCUAAUCCCCAGACCUUGGGGGGGAGGUGGGGCUUGGUUACAAUCGACUGGUGCAUAAUACUGACAGUUCAUCAACUAAGUUUAAACUUAAACAAGUUUAUGCCGUUAAUUUAAAAUAAACACAUUUAACAUACUAAGAGCCUCAUGCCUCUCAGCCUGAUGGAUCACAGCCAAAUUUAUAUUUCUCAUUAAUUAAGAAUAUGUUUGAUAACCAAAUAACAACUGUCAACAUUCAUUUUAGUAAUAAAAACAACCAUCAAAUUUAUUAUCUGUUAUUAAUAUUAAAUUAUUACUGUUAUUAAUAUUAAAAAACAAUACUAGUGGUAUACUGUAUAAUAAGUUCACUUUAUAUAUUUCUCAUAUAUAAAAAUGUUGCUACUUACCACAGCAUAAACCAAAAAUCUUAAACUGCAUCAACUUUCCUGUUUACAUCAAAUGAUCAGCAGAAGUAAAUCAUGUGUGAUGUAGCUGAUAAUCUGGGGCACCAAAGGGGAAAUUUCAAGUUGAUGACAUCAUAAUGUGCAUGACAUGCAGUAUUGAUGACAUCACAGAUUUUGGAACUCAGCCAAUUCUCUCAGGACAGUGUCUGCUGAGCCAGGCCAAAUGUGGAUUACCUGUCUUCACCAAAUCCUAUCCUGGUACAGUCUGAGCAUAGAAAUUUGCAGAUACCGACUUAUUGAGAACCAAGAUAUCUGGGAGUUUUCAACAGACAAGAGGACCUGGAU
Long non-coding RNA from Mya arenaria, 935 nucleotides. RefSeq lists it as uncharacterized. The record is from RefSeq and is a predicted model, not a curated record. The transcript has 3 exons. NCBI's taxonomy places the organism in Eukaryota, Metazoa, Mollusca, Bivalvia, Myida, Myidae.